AUUAAUGAGUCCUACAAAUUAGAUAUAAUUAUUAACUAACACACCCCACACAAAUAAAAUAUCAAGAUAUCCUUCUCUUUUCACUUUUCAUUUUUGACAUUCCCCGUAUCUAUUUUCUCUCUCUGAAACUUUCAUUUUCUUAUUGAUCCUCCCUUGAGAUAUCAGAAGAUCAAGAAAUAGAUAGCUAUGGCGGUGGUGGGUACUUCGUCGACGAGAAAGCCGUCCGUAUCGAAAACAUCUUCUUGAAGUUCCUUAAGAGGUUUGUUUCAGUUUUUAUUUGUUUUUUUUCACAUUUUCUCCCCUUUUCAUCUUUCUGGAUAUGACAUUGUGCUAUCAGUUUUCGACUGGACUUAACUCACGUGAGUCAUAUUACGAGUCAGAGAUAGAAGCCAUGAGACCUAAUGAGUCCAAUACCAUGUUCAUUGAUUUCUCGCAUGUUAUGCGUUUCAAUGAUAUUACAAAUGUAAACUAGUUGCUAUUAUCUACAGCUUAUAAAUGUAGUUAUUAGUUGUAAAAAUCUAUGUUUUAAUUGGUUGUUAAAUUUUAGCUUAGCAGUCUUAAUUUUGUAGAUUAAUUGUAGUUGAUUAUCUACAGUUUAUUUUCUGUAGUUAUUUUGUAGUCAUGUAGAUUAGUUGUGUUAAUUAUGAUGUAUAAAUUAUAGUUAUAAUUAUCUACGACUUUAUAGAUGUAGUUAUUUUGUAGUCAUAUCGCUUAGUUGUCUUAAUUUUAUAGAUUAAUUGUAGUUGCUACUUUUUAUAUAUUUACAAAUGUUAUUAUUUUGCAGUAGAUAGUUCUUACUAGUUUUUUUUGAAGAAUUAUGUAGAUAUUAUAUAGAUUAAUGCUUAUUUUUUAUGCUAAUAUGAAAUAAUUUUUAUUUUGUGCAGAAUGGACAACAUUUCGCAACACAUAAGUGAGGUUAUAGGCAGGCUAGCAAGGAGAAAAGGUGCUCCCACUUUGAAUGAGAAGACUGAAUUGCAUAGAAAGAAGAAAUAGUCUACUGUUUUCCUAAUUUAGUUGCUGCAAAUUUGUAGUUAAAGGAGAAUGAUCUACUUUUUUGGAAACAAUAUCAGCUUAUUGUGUUUAAUUUUGUAGUUGUAUAUGUUAAUCAUUUUUAUGAAAUACCUUCAAGUUAUGAUUAAACAAUAAACAUAAAAAUAGAUACUAUAAUCGUUUA
This 1174-nucleotide long non-coding RNA is filed under the name Nicotiana benthamiana. Its description in RNAcentral is "long non-coding RNA (NBEN_LNC023278)". The record is from RNAcentral. Lineage: Eukaryota; Viridiplantae; Streptophyta; Magnoliopsida; Solanales; Solanaceae.